Molecule: ribosomal RNA, 478 nt
Filed under: Lachnospiraceae bacterium canine oral taxon 106
Lineage: Bacteria; Bacillati; Bacillota; Clostridia; Lachnospirales; Lachnospiraceae
Description: bacterial SSU rRNA
Rfam family: Bacterial small subunit ribosomal RNA
Source: RNAcentral
GAGUUUGAUUCUGGCUCAGGAUGAACGCUGGCGGCAUGCCUAACACAUGCAAGUUGAACGAGAAGUUCUGGAGGGAGUCUUCGGACGAACGAAGGAAUGGAAAGUAGCGAACGGGUGAGUAACGCGUGGGCAACCAACCUUACACAGGGGGAUAACACAGAGAAAUCUGUGCUAAUACCGCAUAAGCGCACAGUACUGCAUAGUACGGUGUGAAAAACUCCGGUGGUGUAAGACGGGCCCGCGUCUGAUUAGCUAGUUGGUAGGGUAAAAGCCUACCAAGGCAACGAUCAGUAGCCGACCUGAGAGGGUGAUCGGCCACAUUGGGACUGAGACACGGCCCAAACUCCUACGGGAGGCAGCAGUGGGGGAUAUUGCACAAUGGAGGAAACUCUGAUGCAGCAAUGCCGCGUGAAGGAAGAAGGUCUUCGGAUUGUAAACUUCUAUCAGCAGGGAAGAAAAUGACGUACCUGACUAAGAG